This 341-nucleotide ribosomal RNA is filed under the name uncultured bacterium. Its description in RNAcentral is "bacterial SSU rRNA". It matches the Rfam family "Bacterial small subunit ribosomal RNA", at positions 28 to 372 of the family's 1533-position model. The record is from RNAcentral.
GACGAACGCUGGCGGCGUGCUUAACACAUGCAAGUCGAGCGGUAAGGCCCUUUCGGGGGUACACGAGCGGCGAACGGGUGAGUAACACGUGGGUGACCUGCCUUCAGCUCUGGGAUAAGCCUGGGAAACUGGGUCUAAUACCGGAUAUGACUCCAUGAUGCAUGUUGUGGGGUGGAAAGCUUUUGCGUCUGGAGAUGGGCCCGCGGCCUAUCAGCUUGUUGGUGGGGUGAGGCCUACCAAGGCGACGACGGGUAGCCGGCCUGAGAGGGCGACCGGCCACACUGGGACUGAGACACGGCCCAGACUCCUACGGGAGGCAGCAGUGGGGAAUCUUGCGCAAU